GUUCUCUUCGGUGACAUCCUUGAAAAUUGGAAUGGUAAAGAGAAGAUUAGCAUGGCCACUGUGCAAGGAUGACAUGCAAAAAUCAAGAAAUGGUGGGUUAUAUU
Molecule: small nuclear RNA, 104 nt
Organism: Magnolia sinica
Lineage: Eukaryota; Viridiplantae; Streptophyta; Magnoliopsida; Magnoliales; Magnoliaceae
Source: RefSeq, a predicted model, not a curated record